AUUGAACGCUGGCGGCAUGCUUUACACAUGCAAGUCGAACGGCAGCGCGGGCUUCGGCCUGGCGGCGAGUGGCGAACGGGUGAGUAAUGCAUAGGAACGUGCCCAGUCGUGGGGGAUAGCCCGGCGAAAGCCGGAUUAAUAUCGCAUACGAUCUGAGGGUGAAAGGGAGGGACCAAAAGUCAUCGCGCGAUUUGAGCGCCCGUUGUCGGAUUAGCUAGUUGGUGGGGUAAAGGCUUACCAAGGCGACGAUCCGUAGCUGGGCUGAGAGGACGACCAGCCACACUGGGACUGAGACACGGCCCAGACUCCUACGGGAGGCAGCAGUGGGGAAUUUUGGACAAUGGGGGCAACCCUGAUCCAGCCAUGCCGCGUGCGGGAAGAAGGCCUUCGGGUUGUAAACCGCUUUUGUUCGGGAAGAAAUCCUCUGGGCUAAUCCACCGGGGGGAUGACGGUACCGGAAGAAUAAGCACCGGCUAACUACGUG
Molecule: ribosomal RNA, 484 nt
Filed under: uncultured bacterium
Lineage: Bacteria
Description: partial 16S ribosomal RNA
Rfam family: Bacterial small subunit ribosomal RNA
Source: RNAcentral